CACCACGUAGCUCAACUGGAUGAGUACGACCCUCCGAAGGUCGAGGAUGCAGGUUCGAGUCCUGUCGUGGUGGCCA
This 76-nucleotide transfer RNA is filed under the name Bradyrhizobium sp. CB3481. Its description in RNAcentral is "tRNA-Arg". It matches the Rfam family "tRNA". Rfam says of the family: Transfer RNA (tRNA) molecules are approximately 80 nucleotides in length. Their secondary structure includes four short double-helical elements and three loops (D, anti-codon, and T loops). Further hydrogen bonds mediate the characteristic L-shaped molecular structure. tRNAs have two regions of fundamental functional importance: the anti-codon, which is responsible for specific mRNA codon recognition, and the 3' end, to which the tRNAs corresponding amino acid is attached (by aminoacyl-tRNA synthetases). tRNAs cope with the degeneracy of the genetic code in two manners: having more than one tRNA (with a specific anti-codon) for a particular amino acid; and 'wobble' base-pairing, i.e. permitting non-standard base-pairing at the 3rd anti-codon position. The record is from RNAcentral. Lineage: Bacteria; Pseudomonadati; Pseudomonadota; Alphaproteobacteria; Hyphomicrobiales; Nitrobacteraceae.